AUAAUUAGCUGCCAAGGGAGAUACCAUGAUGAAUACAAAGGUGAUUUUCCCGCUGUGAGGCUUAUCCAUUGCACUCUGACUGUGCUGACUUCCCACAUGUGGAAAACUUGACUGCAUAAUUUGCAGCAGUGGAGGACUGGAUUCAUGCUUCCUUCUA
Jaculus jaculus (lesser Egyptian jerboa) is the source of this 157-nucleotide small nuclear RNA. Its record names the gene U1. It matches the Rfam family "U1 spliceosomal RNA". From Rfam's summary of the family: U1 is a small nuclear RNA (snRNA) component of the spliceosome (involved in pre-mRNA splicing). Its 5' end forms complementary base pairs with the 5' splice junction, thus defining the 5' donor site of an intron. There are significant differences in sequence and secondary structure between metazoan and yeast U1 snRNAs, the latter being much longer (568 nucleotides as compared to 164 nucleotides in human). Lineage: Eukaryota; Metazoa; Chordata; Mammalia; Rodentia; Dipodidae. The record is from Ensembl.